UAGCAAGUUAAGAUGGCUUCUCGUAUUUGCUUAGGUCCCCAAGGAGCAGUAUCCCCUCCUUCUCGUGAACCCGAGCCACAUGCUGUGGCCUGGGCUGGGGCUUGGCUGACACGGACAUAUUCUGAACUCUCAGCAGAAGAUGCCCAUGGACAGACCUUCACGUUCCCAGAUCUGUUUCCCGAGAAAGACGAGAGCCCUGAAGGCAGCGCUGCCGACGACCUCUACAGCAUGC
Molecule: small RNA, 232 nt
Filed under: Pan troglodytes (chimpanzee)
Lineage: Eukaryota; Metazoa; Chordata; Mammalia; Primates; Hominidae
Description: processed transcript
Source: RNAcentral